RNAcentral lists this ribosomal RNA (496 nucleotides) under uncultured bacterium. RNAcentral's name for it is "partial 16S ribosomal RNA". It matches the Rfam family "Bacterial small subunit ribosomal RNA", at positions 29 to 507 of the family's 1533-position model. The record is from RNAcentral.
AUGAACGCUGGCGGCGUGCCUAAUACAUGCAAGUCGAGCGAACAGAUGAGGAGCUUGCUCCUCUGACGUUAGCGGCGGACGGGUGAGUAACACGUGGAUAACCUACCUAUAAGACUGGGAUAACUUCGGGAAACCGGAGCUAAUACCGGAUAAUAUAUUGAACCGCAUGGUUCAGUAGUGAAAGACGGUUUUGCUGUCACUUAUAGAUGGAUCCGCGCCGCAUUAGCUAGUUGGUAAGGUAACGGCUUACCAAGGCAACGAUGCGUAGCCGACCUGAGAGGGUGAUCGGCCACACUGGAACUGAGACACGGUCCAGACUCCUACGGGAGGCAGCAGUAGGGAAUCUUCCGCAAUGGGCGAAAGCCUGACGGAGCAACGCCGCGUGAGUGAUGAAGGUCUUCGGAUCGUAAAACUCUGUUAUUAGGGAAGAACAAAUGUGUAAGUAACUAUGCACGUCUUGACGGUACCUAAUCAGAAAGCCACGGCUAACUACGUG